GUUGAACGCUGGCGGCAGGCCUAACACAUGCAAGUCGAGCGGAUGAAGGGAGCUUGCUCCUGGAUUCAGCGGCGGACGGGUGAGUAAUGCCUAGGAAUCUGCCUGGUAGUGGGGGAUAACGUCCGGAAACGGGCGCUAAUACCGCAUACGUCCUGAGGGAGAAAGUGGGGGAUCUUCGGACCUCACGCUAUCAGAUGAGCCUAGGUCGGAUUAGCUAGUUGGUGGGGUAAAGGCCUACCAAGGCGACGAUCCGUAACUGGUCUGAGAGGAUGAUCAGUCACACUGGAACUGAGACACGGUCCAGACUCCUACGGGAGGCAGCAGUGGGGAAUAUUGGGCAAUGGGCGAAAGCCUGAUCCAGCCAUGCCGCGUGUGUGAAGAAGGUCUUCGGAUUGUAAAGCACUUUAAGUUGGGAGGAAGGGCAGUAAGUUAAUACCUUGCUGUUUUGACGUUACCAACAGAAUAAGCACCGGCUAACUUCGUG
RNAcentral lists this ribosomal RNA (484 nucleotides) under uncultured bacterium. Its description in RNAcentral is "partial 16S ribosomal RNA". It matches the Rfam family "Bacterial small subunit ribosomal RNA", at positions 28 to 507 of the family's 1533-position model. The record is from RNAcentral.